RNAcentral lists this microRNA precursor (95 nucleotides) under Mus pahari (shrew mouse). RNAcentral's name for it is "miRNA (MGP_PahariEiJ_G0006960.1)". The stretch from base 8 to 88 matches the Rfam family "mir-692 microRNA precursor family", at positions 1 to 83 of the family's 109-position model. The record is from RNAcentral. Lineage: Eukaryota; Metazoa; Chordata; Mammalia; Rodentia; Muridae.
GUGCAUCAACCAGUGCAGACUGGCGAGCCCCAGGGAUUUCUGGGCAAGUAUCUUUUUGAGCGCUUCACUCUCAAGCAGGACUAGGAGGCCCUUCC